UACAGAGGGUGCGAGCGUUAAUCGGAAUUACUGGGCGUAAAGCGUGCGUAGACGGUAGCGUAAGUCAGAUGUGAAAGCCCCGGGCUCAACCUGGGAAUUGCAUUUGAGACUGCUCUGCUCGGGUGCGGAAGAGGGAAGCGGAAUUUCCGGUGUAGCGGUGAAAUGCGUAGAUAUCACUUGGAACGCCAAAGGUGAAAACAAUCUGCUGGGGAUCUGCUGACGCUGAGACACGAAAGCCAGGGGAGCGAACGGG
RNAcentral lists this ribosomal RNA (253 nucleotides) under uncultured bacterium. RNAcentral's name for it is "partial 16S ribosomal RNA". It matches the Rfam family "Bacterial small subunit ribosomal RNA", at positions 524 to 776 of the family's 1533-position model. The record is from RNAcentral.